GACGAACGCUGGCGGCGUGCUUAACACAUGCAAGUCGAACGGAAAGGCCCUGCUUUUGUGGGGUGCUCGAGUGGCGAACGGGUGAGUAACACGUGAGUAACCUGCCCUUGACUUUGGGAUAACUUCAGGAAACUGGGGCUAAAACCGGAUAGGAGCUCCUGCUGCAUGGUGGGGGUUGGAAAGUUUCGGCGGUUGGGGAUGGACUCGCGGCUUAUCAGCUUGUUGGUGGGGUAGUGGCUUACCAAGGCUUUGACGGGUAGCCGGCCUGAGAGGGUGACCGGCCACAUUGGGACUGAGAUACGGCCCAGACUCCUACGGGAGGCAGCAGUGGGGAAUAUUGCACAAUGGGCGGAAGCCUGAUGCAGCAACGCCGCGUGCGGAAUGACGGCCUUCGGGUUGUAAACCGCUUUCGCCUGUGACGAAGCGUGAGUGACGGUAAUGGGUAAAGAAGCACCGGCUAACUACGUG
This 468-nucleotide ribosomal RNA is filed under the name uncultured bacterium. Its description in RNAcentral is "partial 16S ribosomal RNA". It matches the Rfam family "Bacterial small subunit ribosomal RNA", at positions 28 to 507 of the family's 1533-position model. The record is from RNAcentral.